Molecule: ribosomal RNA, 449 nt
Filed under: uncultured bacterium
Lineage: Bacteria
Description: partial 16S ribosomal RNA
Rfam family: Bacterial small subunit ribosomal RNA
Source: RNAcentral
AACGAACGCUGGCGGCAUGCCUAACACAUGCAAGUCGAACGAGAUCUUCGGGUCUAGAGGCUCACGGGUGCGUAACGCGUGGGAAUCUGCCCAUUGGUUCGGAAUAACAGUUGGAAACGACUGCUAAUACCGGAUGAUGACGAAAGUCCAAAGUUUUAUCGCCAGAGGAUGAGCCCGCGUAGGAUUGGCUAUUUGGUGUGGUAAAGGCGCACCAAGGCGACGAUCCUUAGCUGGUCCGAGAGGAUGCUCAGCCACGCAGGGACUGAGACGCGGGCCAGGCGCCUACGGGAUGCAGCAGGGGGGAAUGGUGGACGAUGGGCGCACGCCUGACCCAGCAGUGCCGCGUGAGUGAUACAGGGCUUAGGGUUGUAAAGCUCUUUUGCCCGGGAUGAUAAUGGCGGGACCGGGAGUAUAAGCUCCGGCUCACUCUGUGCCAGCCGCCGGUGUAA